This 687-nucleotide long non-coding RNA is filed under the name Citrus x clementina. RNAcentral's name for it is "Citrus clementina (C. clementina) long non-coding RNA (CCLE_LNC003460)". Lineage: Eukaryota; Viridiplantae; Streptophyta; Magnoliopsida; Sapindales; Rutaceae. The record is from RNAcentral.
AUUCCCACUCCCACCUCCCCCAAUGGGAGUCCCACUCCCACUCCCCACUCCCCACUCCAAAAAUGAGUGGGGCCUACGGAGUGGGAUUCCCAAUCCGUGACCAUUUUAAGCAAGUAAACGCUGGAGUGGGAGGAAUCCACACUCCUCACUCCCACUCCAACAAGUAAACACAACCUAAAUUGCUAACCCUACUCUGCCUGCUUCUUAUUGCUAAAUUUCAUAGCAAAUUUCAUCCAAAUUCAAAUCUUAACGUUAAUUGAAUAUCAAGCAAGCCUUUUUACACUUUAGGCUUUUGGGCCCUCAAUGGACCCAACAUGCACUGUUAUAUAAACUCUCAUAUGCAAAAAGUUAACGAGAUUGGCAUCUCUUACGUACCUUUGAAUCAACAAUAAUGGCUUUCAGCCUGUAAAUUUGGUCACUUCCUUUGCAUCCUUUUAUCUUUAACUCUCUUUUCUCAAAGAUGCAAGUACACAAAACGUAUCCAGUUUGCCUGUUUAUACUAAACAUAUUUUAUGCUCUUAAAAAGAGAGUUGGGUCAAAUUCUUGAGAAGCAAAAGAAUUUAGAGCACGCGAUUAAAUUAAUUUAAAGUUCGCACUAUUUAUUCCUUAGCUAGGCUCCUUUUUUGGUUCAAGCAUGAGCGAUUAACGCAAUUAUUUUAUUAGGUUCACUGGAUCAGAAUAUCUGCN